AUUGAACGCUGGCGGCAGGCCUAACACAUGCAAGUCGAGCGGAUGAAGGGAGCUUGCUCCUGGAUUCAGCGGCGGACGGGUGAGUAAUGCCUAGGAAUCUGCCUGGUAGUGGGGGAUAACGUCCGGAAACGGGCGCUAAUACCGCAUACGUCCUGAGGGAGAAAGUGGGGGAUCUUCGGACCUCACGCUAUCAGAUGAGCCUAGGUCGGAUUAGCUAGUUGGUGGGGUAAAGGCCUACCAAGGCGACGAUCCGUAACUGGUCUGAGAGGAUGAUCAGUCACACUGGAACUGAGAAACGGUCCAGACUCCUACGGGAGGCAGCAGUGGGGAAUAUUGGACGAUGGGCGAAAGCCUGAUCCAGCCAUGCCGCGUGUGUGAAGAAGGUCUUCGGAUUGUAAAGCACUUUAAGUUGGGAGGAAGGGCAGUAAGUUAAUACCUGGCUGUUUUGACGUUACCAACAGAAUAAGCACCGGCUAACUUCGUG
This 484-nucleotide ribosomal RNA is filed under the name uncultured bacterium. RNAcentral describes it as "partial 16S ribosomal RNA". It matches the Rfam family "Bacterial small subunit ribosomal RNA", at positions 30 to 507 of the family's 1533-position model. The record is from RNAcentral.